UACCCAGAGUGGCUGGCCUCAC
RNAcentral lists this non-coding RNA (22 nucleotides) under Mus musculus (house mouse). The record is from RNAcentral. Lineage: Eukaryota; Metazoa; Chordata; Mammalia; Rodentia; Muridae.